GAAGUUAACUGGAUGGUCGCGGGGACAAGAACCGAAAGGUCGUCUCUGAGGAAAGUCCGAGCUCCAUAGGGCAGGGUGCCGGGUAACGCCCGGUGGGGGUGACCCCAAGGAAAGUGCAACAGAAAUAUACCGCCCGGCGCUUACUUAAGCCGGUUGUGCAGGUAAAUGUUUUAUGGUUUAUACUGCAAGGGUGUAGAAACCGUUUUAAGUAAGUGCCGGGUAAGGGUGGAAUGGUGAGGUAAGAGCUCACCGGCAGUCAGGUAACUGGCUGGCCCUGUAAACCCCACCCGGAGCAAGACCAAAUAGGGGAACAAUGAAGUGGCCCGCUUUAGUUCCCGGGUUAGGUCGCUUGAGGCUGGCGGUAACGUCAGUCCUAGAUAGAUGACCAUCACCUCGUAAGAGGCACAGAACUCGGCUUAUAGGUUAACUUCGUUC
This 435-nucleotide RNase P RNA is filed under the name Peptococcaceae bacterium. RNAcentral's name for it is "RNase P RNA component class A". It matches the Rfam family "Bacterial RNase P class A". From Rfam's summary of the family: Ribonuclease P (RNase P) is a ubiquitous endoribonuclease, found in archaea, bacteria and eukarya as well as chloroplasts and mitochondria. Its best characterised activity is the generation of mature 5'-ends of tRNAs by cleaving the 5'-leader elements of precursor-tRNAs. Lineage: Bacteria; Bacillati; Bacillota; Clostridia; Eubacteriales; Peptococcaceae. The record is from RNAcentral.